This 86-nucleotide non-coding RNA is filed under the name unclassified sequences. RNAcentral describes it as "c-di-GMP sequence". It matches the Rfam family "c-di-GMP-II-GAG riboswitch aptamer". The record is from Rfam by way of RNAcentral.
AUGGCAGCGGGAGGCUCUGACACGCGGCCCACACCCCCGGCCGCCGGGACCGCGUCGAGCCACUGGCGAGACCGACCCGCAUCGUA